This 76-nucleotide transfer RNA is filed under the name Cutibacterium acnes. RNAcentral's name for it is "tRNA-Gly". It matches the Rfam family "tRNA". Rfam says of the family: Transfer RNA (tRNA) molecules are approximately 80 nucleotides in length. RNAcentral also lists the same sequence under 2 other names. Lineage: Bacteria; Bacillati; Actinomycetota; Actinomycetes; Propionibacteriales; Propionibacteriaceae. The record is from RNAcentral.
GCGGACGUGGCUCAGUUGGUAGAGCAUCACCUUGCCAAGGUGAGGGUCGCGGGUUCGAGUCCCGUCGUCCGCUCGG